ACCGUACCUAAACCAACACAGGUGGAUAAGCUGAAAAAGCAAAGGCCAGGCAGACCCCCGGGAAAGGAACUCGGCAAACUACUAGCGUGACUUCGGAGAAAGCUAGACCCUCCUUUGGGAGGGUGUCACUAAAGAGGGGAUGGCAACUGUUUACUAAAAACACAGGGCUCUGCUAUGUGUCCAACACAUUGUAUAGGGCCUGACGCCUGCCCGGUACUGGAAGAUAAUCAACCCUCAUGAAAGUGGGGGUGUGGAAGGACCAGUGAACGGCAGCCAUAACUCUGAUGGUUCUAAGGUAGCGAAAUUCCUUGCCAAAUAAUUGUUGGCCCGCAUGAAUGGCGUCAUGACUGUCCUGCUGUCUCUCCCGGGGCGCCAGCGAAUUUGACAUUCUCGUGAAGAGGCGAGAGUUUGAGCACGGGACGAUGAGACCCCGUGCACCUUGACUUCAAGUUGUUCGUGCUUUUCUUUUUUAACAAGCUCAGGAGAGGUGGGACUGGGAUCCAGGUAAAUGAGAUACCACCCUUGUUAGGAAAAAAAGCUCUAACUGUGGUAAUAUACCACAGAGAGAUGGACAGUGUGGGAGUUUCUCUGGGGCGGAGGCCUCCAAAAUAGUAUCGGGGGCGCGCCAAGGUUAAGAUUCACCCUGAAGGGGGUUUGAAAAGGUGGUAAUCCAUUCUCUUAGCCUGACUGUGAGAAAGACUCUUCGAACAGGCACGCAAGUGGGCGAUAGUGACCCAGUGUUUGGCAGUGGAACAAACACUGAUCAUCGGAUCAAAGGUACGCCGGGGAUAACAGGUUUAUCGUUUCCUAGAGUCCCUAUCGACGAAACGGUUUGACACCUCGAUGUCGACUCUUCGUGUCCUCCGGCUGCAGAAGGUCGGAAGGGUAGGACUGUUCGUCCUUUAAAACGGAACGUGAGUUGGGUUUAAUGCGUCGCGAGACAGUAUGGUUCCUAUCUGUGCUCAACUUGGACUGAGACCAGGCCCCUUAGUACGAGAGGAUCGAUGGGGUCCCAACCUCUGGUGUACCGGUUAUUGGUUCUCCAGUAACGCCGGGCAGCUACGUUGGCAACCAGAACCGCUGAAAGCAUCUUAAGCGGGAAAGGUGUGUUGAGACGUGUCCCUUCCUUCGUAGUAGGCUCCUACGUAGAUCGGCAACAGGUUAAUAAACGUAAGUUUUCGCUUGGUUGUACGAA
This 1195-nucleotide ribosomal RNA is filed under the name Raphidocelis subcapitata. RNAcentral describes it as "bacterial LSU rRNA". It matches the Rfam family "Bacterial large subunit ribosomal RNA", at positions 1641 to 2904 of the family's 2925-position model. The record is from RNAcentral. Lineage: Eukaryota; Viridiplantae; Chlorophyta; Chlorophyceae; Sphaeropleales; Selenastraceae.